This 470-nucleotide ribosomal RNA is filed under the name uncultured bacterium. RNAcentral's name for it is "bacterial SSU rRNA". It matches the Rfam family "Bacterial small subunit ribosomal RNA", at positions 8 to 526 of the family's 1533-position model. The record is from RNAcentral.
AGAGUUUGAUCCUGGCUCAGAACGAACGCUGGCGGCAGGCUUAACACAUGCAAGUCGAACGCCCCGCAAGGGGAGUGGCAGACGGGUGAGUAACGCGUGGGAAUCUACCCAUCUCUACGGAAUAACUCAGGGAAACUUGUGCUAAUACCGUAUACGCCCUUCGGGGGAAAGAUUUAUCGGAGAUGGAUGAGCCCGCGUUGGAUUAGCUAGUUGGUGGGGUAAAGGCCUACCAAGGCGACGAUCCAUAGCUGGUCUGAGAGGAUGAUCAGCCACAUUGGGACUGAGACACGGCCCAAACUCCUACGGGAGGCAGCAGUGGGGAAUAUUGGACAAUGGGCGCAAGCCUGAUCCAGCCAUGCCGCGUGAGUGAUGAAGGCCCUAGGGUUGUAAAGCUCUUUCACCGAUGAAGAUAAUGACUGUAGUCGGAGAAGAAGCCCCGGCUAACUUCGUGCCAGCCGCCGCGGUAAUAC